RNAcentral lists this transfer RNA (66 nucleotides) under Parapsyche difformis. RNAcentral's name for it is "tRNA-Glu". Lineage: Eukaryota; Metazoa; Arthropoda; Insecta; Trichoptera; Hydropsychidae. The record is from RNAcentral.
AUUUAUAUAGUUUAACUAAAAACAUUACAUUUUCACUGUAAAUUUAAAUUACAUUUUUUAUAAAUU